RNAcentral lists this long non-coding RNA (974 nucleotides) under Homo sapiens (human). RNAcentral describes it as "HSALNT0375461". The record is from RNAcentral. Lineage: Eukaryota; Metazoa; Chordata; Mammalia; Primates; Hominidae.
AACUCCUGACCUCAAGUGAUCCGCCCACCUCGGCCUCCCAAAGUGCUGGGAUUACAGGCAUGAGCCACCGCUCCGGGCCCUUGCACAUAUUUUUUUAUGAACACACAGGCAGCAGCACUUUGAUUACAGUAACUUACAUGGAAGUUAUUUUAAAAUGGCUUUCCCCUUCUCUUUUUCAUGUAGGCUGCAUUUUUCAUCUGCAGCACGCUUUCUCUCAAGAAUCUCAAGCACACACAAGAAACCAGAGAGUAAAAUCACUGAGGCGUGAACACAUCCAGAGACCAAGGGCGUCACUGGCAGAAAAGCUUUUAGGCGGAUCCACGGCCCGAGAGCCACCCUGCCCAGAGACGCGGUUUCCUAGGAGCAGUUCACACGCGGCUCUGCAGCACCCACAAGCGGGGCCAGGGGCUGGUUUUCAUAGUUCACAGUCUGCAGGGAUCUUAACAAAAACAUGGCCGUGGUAAAAGUGCCUAGACCAGGCUUUCGUCACAACUCAUCAUGUUACUAGGUUAGGAUAAUAAAAAGGACUGUGAACUUCACAUCUGCCAUCUAUAAUAGAUUCUUAUUGUAGCAAUCUUGCACCAAGGGGAUUUCUUUAUUAACUCUGCCAAAUUUUCCAAAAUUACCAAAUGGAGAAAAGAGCUGGUCCCAUCUGUCACCAGGCACAACCAGGAAGUGUCAGAAGACUUUCAGAAGCACAUGCAGUUGCAGCUCCAGUGUUUCAACAGUUGCCCAUUUCCAAGGCCUCCUAAAUACGUAUGAGGCCUGUGGACAACUUUCUCCUCAGCUGUUACAGUUGGCUAGAUUAGUUCCCCAGUCUGUCUUCUCGCCACUCUGGAUGUCCACAUGAGAGGACCCAAGCACGAAUGGUUAGAAAGAUGAACUUGGAACCUCAGACGAGAAUAUGAGAAACAUAAACAGAGACAUAUGACAACCUAAAAAAUGGAGUACAAUACCAAUAAGAAUAACGAUUA